Molecule: ribosomal RNA, 704 nt
Filed under: Microbispora sp. VE54
Lineage: Bacteria; Bacillati; Actinomycetota; Actinomycetes; Streptosporangiales; Streptosporangiaceae
Description: bacterial SSU rRNA
Rfam family: Bacterial small subunit ribosomal RNA
Source: RNAcentral
GACUGGCGGCGUGCUUACCAUGCAAGUCGAGCGGAAAGGCCCUUCGGGGUACUCGAGCGGCGAACGGGUGAGUAACACGUGAGUAACCUGCCCCUGACUCUGGGAUAAGCCUGGGAAACUGGGUCUAAUACCGGAUACGACCAUUUCUCGCAUGGGAUGGUGGUGGAAAGUUUUUUCGGUUGGGGAUGGGCUCGCGGCCUAUCAGCUUGUUGGUGGGGUGAUGGCCUACCAAGGCGACGACGGGUAGCCGGCCUGAGAGGGCGACCGGCCACACUGGGACUGAGACACGGCCCAGACUCCUACGGGAGGCAGCAGUGGGGAAUAUUGCGCAAUGGGCGAAAGCCUGACGCAGCGACGCCGCGUGGGGGAUGACGGCCUUCGGGUUGUAAACCUCUUUCAGCAGGGACGAAGUUGACGUGUACCUGUAGAAGAAGCGCCGGCUAACUACGUGCCAGCAGCCGCGGUAAUACGUAGGGCGCGAGCGUUGUCCGGAAUUAUUGGGCGUAAAGAGCUCGUAGGUGGCUUGUUGCGUCUGCCGUGAAAGCCCGUGGCUUAACUACGGGUCUGCGGUGGAUACGGGCAGGCUAGAGGCUGGUAGGGGCAAGCGGAAUUCCUGGUGUAGCGGUGAAAUGCGCAGAUAUCAGGAGGAACACCGGUGGCGAAGGCGGCUUGCUGGGCCAGUUCUGACGCUGAGGAGCGAAACG